GAACGAAAUCUUUCGGGAUUUAGUGGCGGACGGGUGAGUAACGCGUGAGAAUCUGGCUUCAGGUUUGGGACAACCACUGGAAACGGUGGCUAAUACCGGAUGUGCCGCAAGGUGAAAGGCUUGCCGCCUGAAGAUGAGCUCGCGUCUGAUUAGCUAGUAGGUGGGGUAAAAGCCUACCUAGGCGACGAUCAGUAGCUGGUCUGAGAGGAUGAUCAGCCACACUGGGACUGAGACACGGCCCAGACUCCUACGGGAGGCAGCAGUGGGGAAUUUUCCGCAAUGGGCGAAAGCCUGACGGAGCAAUACCGCGUGAGGGAGGAAGGCUCUUGGGUUGUAAACCUCUUUUCUCAGGGAAGAAAAAAAUGACGGUACCUGAGGAAUAAGCAUCGGCUAACUCCGUGCCAGCAGCCGCGGUAAUACGGAGGAUGCAAGCGUUAUCCGGAAUGAUUGGGCGUAAAGCGUCCGCAGGUGGCUGUGUGUGUCUGCUGUUAAAGAGUCAUGCUUAACAUGAUAAAGGCAGUGGAAACUACACGGCUAGAGUGCGUUCGGGGCAGAGGGAAUUCCUGGUGUAGCGGUGAAAUGCGUAGAGAUCAGGAAGAACACCGGUGGCGAAAGCGCUCUGCUAGGCCGCAACUGACACUGAGGGACGAAAGCUAGGGGAGCGAAUGGGAUUAGAUACCCCAGUAGUCCUAGCCGUAAACGAUGGAUACUANGCGUGGCUUGUAUCGACCCGAGCCGUGCCGA
RNAcentral lists this ribosomal RNA (744 nucleotides) under cyanobacterium enrichment culture clone 3_10_3.3.8_G02-T7. RNAcentral describes it as "bacterial SSU rRNA". It matches the Rfam family "Bacterial small subunit ribosomal RNA", at positions 64 to 849 of the family's 1533-position model. Lineage: Bacteria; Bacillati; Cyanobacteriota. The record is from RNAcentral.